AUUGAACGCUGGCGGAAUGCUUUACACAUGCAAGUCGAACGGCAGCACGGGGGCAACCCUGGUGGCGAGUGGCGAACGGGUGAGUAAUACAUCGGAACGUGCCCGGUCGUGGGGGCUAACGUAGCGAAAGUUACGCUAAUACCGCAUACGAUCUGAGGAUGAAAGCGGGGGACCUUCGGGCCUCGCGCGAUCGGAGCGGCCGAUGUCGGAUUAGGUAGUUGGUGGGGUAAAGGCCUACCAAGCCGACGAUCUGUAGCUGGUCUGAGAGGACGACCAGCCACACUGGGACUGAGACACGGCCCAGACUCCUACGGGAGGCAGCAGUGGGGAAUUUUGGACAAUGGGCGCAAGCCUGAUCCAGCCAUUCCGCGUGCAGGACGAAGGCCUUCGGGUUGUAAACUGCUUUUGUAUGGAACGAAAAGGCUCUGGCUAAUACCUGGGGCUCAUGACGGUACCGAAAGAAUAAGCACCGGCUAACUACGUG
RNAcentral lists this ribosomal RNA (484 nucleotides) under uncultured bacterium. RNAcentral's name for it is "partial 16S ribosomal RNA". It matches the Rfam family "Bacterial small subunit ribosomal RNA", at positions 30 to 507 of the family's 1533-position model. The record is from RNAcentral.